Molecule: ribosomal RNA, 467 nt
Filed under: uncultured bacterium
Lineage: Bacteria
Description: bacterial SSU rRNA
Rfam family: Bacterial small subunit ribosomal RNA
Source: RNAcentral
GGGCCAGACUCCUACGGGAGGCAGCAGUGAGGAAUAUUGGUCAAUGGCCGAGAGGCUGAACCAGCCAAGUCGCGUGAGGGAGGACGGCCCUACGGGUUGUAAACCUCUUUUGUCAGGGAGCAAGGGACAGGUCGUGACCUGUUGUGAGAGUACCUGAAGAAAAAGCAUCGGCUAACUCCGUGCCAGCAGCCGCGGUAAUACGGAGGAUGCGAGCGUUAUCCGGAUUUAUUGGGUUUAAAGGGUGCGCAGGCGGGAGAUCAAGUCAGCGGUAAAAUGUCGGGGCUCAACCCCGGCCGGCCGUUGAAACUGGUUUUCUAGAGUUGGAGAGAAGUAUGCGGAAUUCGUGGUGUAGCGGUGAAAUGCAUAGAUAUCACGAAGAACUCCGAUUGCGAAGGCAGCAUACCGGCUCCAUACUGACGCUGAGGCACGAAAGCGUGGGGAUCGAACAGGAUUAGAUACCCCGGCAU